GUGGGGAAUCUUGCGCAAUGGGCGAAAGCCUGACGCAGCAACGCCGCGUGGGGGAUGAAGCUUUUCGGAGUGUAAACCCCUUUCGACCCGGAGGAAUCCCCGCAAGGGAUUGACAGUACGGGUAUAAGAAGCCCCGGCUAACUACGUGCCAGCAGCCGCGGUAAAACGUAGGGGGCCAGCGUUGCUCGGAAUUACUGGGCGUAAAGGGUCUGUAGGCGGUGCGGCAAGUCGGAAGUGAAAUCUCAGGGCUUAACCCUGAGGCUGCUCCCGAAACUGCUGUGCUCGAGUGCGAGAGAGGCGAGUGGAAUUGCAGGUGUAGCGGUGAAAUGCGUAGAUAUCUGCAGGAACAUCCGAGGCGAAAGCGGCUCGCUGGAUCGCAACUGACGCUGAGAGACGAAAGCUAGGGGAGCAAACAGGAUUAGAUACCCUGGUAGUCC
Molecule: ribosomal RNA, 437 nt
Filed under: uncultured bacterium
Lineage: Bacteria
Description: bacterial SSU rRNA
Rfam family: Bacterial small subunit ribosomal RNA
Source: RNAcentral